Molecule: ribosomal RNA, 326 nt
Filed under: uncultured bacterium
Lineage: Bacteria
Description: partial 16S ribosomal RNA
Rfam family: Bacterial small subunit ribosomal RNA
Source: RNAcentral
AGUGAACGCUGGCGGCAGGCCUAACACAUGCAAGUCGAGCGGCAGCGGGUCCCCGCGAGGGGAUGCCGGCGAGCGGCGGACGGGUGAGGAACACAUCGGAAUCUGCCUGGUUGUGGGGGAUAACGUAGGGAAACUUACGCUAAUACCGCAUGCGACCCUGAGUCGACGGACUUGGGGUGAAAGUGAGGGACCUUCGGGCCUCACGCGACCAGAUGAGCCGAUGUCGGAUAGCUAGUUGGCGGGGUAACGGCCCGCCAAGGCGACGAUCCGUAGCUGGUCUGAGAGGAUGAUCAGCCACACUGGGACUGAGACACGGCCCAGACUCC